AUUGAACGCUGGCGGCAGGCCUAACACAUGCAAGUCGAACGGUAACAGGAAGAAGCUUGCUUCUUUGCUGACGAGUGGCGGCCGGGUGAGUAAUGUCUGGGAAACUGCCUGAUGGAGGGGGAUAACUACUGGAAACGGUAGCUAAUACCGCAUAACGUCGCAAGACCAAAGAGGGGGACCUUCGGGCCUCUUGCCAUCGGAUGUGCCCAGAUGGGAUUAGCUAGUAGGUGGGGUAAUGGCUCACCUAGGCGACGAUCCCUAGCUGGUCUGAGAGGAUGACCAGCCACACUGGAACUGAGACACGGUCCAGACUCCUACGGGAGGCAGCAGUGGGGAAUAUUGCACAAUGGGCGCAAGCCUGAUGCAGCCAUGCCGCGUGUAUGAAGAAGGCCUUCGGGUUGUAAAGUACUUUCAGCGGGGAGGAAGGGAGUAAAGUUAAUACCUUUGCUCAUUGACGUUACCCGCAGAAGAAGCACCGGCUAACUCCGUG
This 490-nucleotide ribosomal RNA is filed under the name uncultured bacterium. RNAcentral's name for it is "partial 16S ribosomal RNA". It matches the Rfam family "Bacterial small subunit ribosomal RNA", at positions 30 to 507 of the family's 1533-position model. The record is from RNAcentral.